Molecule: long non-coding RNA, 305 nt
Filed under: Pan troglodytes (chimpanzee)
Lineage: Eukaryota; Metazoa; Chordata; Mammalia; Primates; Hominidae
Description: long non-coding RNA NONPTRT015725
Source: RNAcentral
AAUACGUGUGCGUAAAUGAAAAAUACAUGUUCCUAGAACUACAAUCUUUUGGAUGGUUUAUUUUUGAAUAUUUUAAUGUGUUUCUAAUCUUUUUUGUGACAAAAAUAAUAUUCAGAAUUAAUACAUUAGAAAGUAGAGUGUUUCUACAUUUCUUAAAUUUUAUAAAUAAUAUCAUGGCUUUUGGUAAGAUAGAGAUAUUUUAUUCCACAUUAAUAUUCACAUAGAAUAUGUUAGUUUAGUCUGAAAAACGAAUGGUCAGUAAUUUAGAACCUGUGGUCCAAUUACUCUUGCGGAUGGACUUCAAA